Molecule: non-coding RNA, 28 nt
Filed under: Cricetulus griseus (Chinese hamster)
Lineage: Eukaryota; Metazoa; Chordata; Mammalia; Rodentia; Cricetidae
Source: RNAcentral
UCUUGCUGUGGUCCCAUAAGCGAGCAGA